Molecule: long non-coding RNA, 809 nt
Organism: Papaver somniferum (opium poppy)
Lineage: Eukaryota; Viridiplantae; Streptophyta; Magnoliopsida; Ranunculales; Papaveraceae
Exons: 3
Source: RefSeq, a predicted model, not a curated record
CUUCCAGAAUUUUUCUUCGACUCUCUCUUCCCAACUGUAGAAACCCCAAACUGAAUUUUCCAUCGAUGUAUUUCGAAAUAUUAAUGGAGGAGAUCGCCAAUCAAAUCGAGAUUAACUCUUAUUGAUGGAGCAUUUCCUUUUUUUCUUUCCACCAUUCUUCUUCUCCCUCGACUCUCUCUUCCCAACAAUAAAAUCCCCAAAUUGAAUUUUUGGUUGUAUUUCGACUAACUAAUGGCGGAGAUCGGAAAUUGAAGGAAACGGUUACUCUAUCUGAUUAGGGUACAUCUCAGAGUCGUUUUGCAGCUCGAAGAAAUAGGAUGACCGAAGAGCAACGUGCUGCUGAAACAGAAAGGCUUCAUGUUGAUUGCGACAUCAGGGAUUGCUGCGACGUCAAGGUAUCGUUUCUUUAGGCGAGAAGAUAGAAGAACCUCAAAGCCGGCAACAAAGUGGAUGGGUGCUUAGCUGCAGUCUGCGUAUUCUGUUUUUCAAAAUUGGAAAAAUGUGGACGAAAAAGACUAUGUUUGCCGACGUGCAAUGCACGUGGACUCUACUUGUUUUAGUAGUGGAUGAAGUAGGGAAUAUAAAGAUGCAAGUUUGGGACAAAUUGGAUAUGGGGAAGAGUUCCUCUUUAUAUAGAGGAAAACCCGGUAGUUUUUUUUGUUUUGAAAACUUUAAAAUUCAGGUGAAAUAAUUUGUGUAAUCGGGUCUAUAAGAAUGUCCAUAUCAACCGAUUGUAGCCUAGUAACCAUCAAACUUCGGUUGCUAAGCUAAUUUGAAGAUUCAUCAUUAAUUCAAAAUCUUUUUAACUA